GGAUCCAACAUGCUAGUGGUGAGAUUUGGCUGUGAUUUGACCAAUCACAGAUUUGAUGACACACAAGGCUAUAUAUACAAAGUGAGGGGACACGUUGAGACGCGCCCUUUAGAAAGGACGCCACAAAGGCGGUUGUUAAGCAUGGAUUAUUAGGAUUAUAAUUAAUCCUUAACACUCCCCCUAAUCUAUGCUUAUCUUCGGUUAUAUGCAC
RNAcentral lists this long non-coding RNA (211 nucleotides) under Hordeum vulgare. RNAcentral's name for it is "long non-coding RNA (HVUL_LNC016458)". The record is from RNAcentral. Lineage: Eukaryota; Viridiplantae; Streptophyta; Magnoliopsida; Poales; Poaceae.